Molecule: ribosomal RNA, 258 nt
Filed under: Triticum aestivum (bread wheat)
Lineage: Eukaryota; Viridiplantae; Streptophyta; Magnoliopsida; Poales; Poaceae
Description: partial small subunit ribosomal RNA
Source: RNAcentral
AUGUUCCAAGAGCUUGCACCACAUGACCCACACGACAAGUGUGGUCACCACUAUGCGAUCUGUCUUGACCUGAAGAACCAACAUUUUGAGGUGCUUGAUUCAAUCCGUUCAGAAGCUGAUGCAGACCUUACUACGCAUGCCGAAUUCUUCAUUAACAACCUCAAAGAGACAUGGAACCGUCACUACGAACAUUCAAAGGUCCAGAUCAGGCAUUUCCCGACUGAGUAUGUGGCGACUGCGAAGCAAGGGAACACAUAA